GGCAGGUGUGACCAGCUGUGCUUGGGAGUGUCAGGGGCAGCCUUUAUUCGGAAACUAUUUGCCUUGAAGUCAAACCUGGGUAUAGGACUUUCUGAUGAGCACUGAAGAAAUAUUAAUGGAACUUUCCAAACACCAUGUUUCCUUAGCAUCUAUGGCUCUGAGUUCUCAAUCCGAGCUGGACUCCCGUGAGAUGGGAUUCUACUUCAAGCUGGCAAAACAUGGUUUCCUGUGUGUAUAGGAAGGAAGCGCUCUUUUAAGGGCAUCCCAGGCAUCAAACAGAUCCGGUCAAAUUAGAGGCAGAGAUACUGAGGCAGAGAUGCUGAUGAUUUGAUCCUUGACUUGGAGGCCUAAAGGCGUUGGCUGAAGCCAUGAGAAGAGCAGGCUGGAUAAUGGAUGUUACCCUGGGCCUCUGAUGGAGGCUCUUAAGUCCUACAGCAUAUUGCCUCUCUGCUCACUUCCCAUUUGUCUUGUUCCUUGCUUCCAGUAGACAUGUUAGCUAUGGUUAAUUGAGCAUGUCACAUGCGGACUAUCAUCAAGAUGGUACUUGCGUCCAUGACCUCCUUUAACCUCCUUGGAAGGAGACCUUCUCACCUCUGCGAUACAGAGACAAAAGGGCAGUGCAGCGGGAGAAAGUCCACGGACUGGUGGUCUGAUCCUGGGAGUAGAGGAUCUUCUCUCACCCGGGAAGAAGACUGAGGCAGAAAGAUGAGACCUGCAUGCUGCGGCCAUAAAAGUCCUGAGCUGUGAGCUUGUGUCGAUGGGACCACAAGUCUGCCCCCAUCAUUGCGGGCACCUUGCAGCUGCUUCUGGCAACCAGGUUCUAUGACCGCAACGAAGAACAAGGUGGUAACUUGCAUCCUUGUCGAAAAGCGUGACUAAUGUGAAGCUUUUGCAUUUUCCUUUGUUUUGGCACCAGGAUGAAAAUUGACCCCUAAUACAAAGAAAGCCUUGAUGCACUUACUCCCGCAGUUGGAUAGACAGGCCCAAAGUGUCGAAACUUCACAGAAUCCAGCAGAAACAGACCCCUGCUGUUGUUAGAUUUUUUUUCCUUAAAGUGAACAGGGACAGGAGUUUCCAUAGCCCCAGAAUCACCAGGACGGAACAGUUCCAUCGAAUAGACCAUUGCUAUCCUAUCCCAAAACGCCCCUGUGAGUUCUGAUGAGUCCAGUUGCAAAUGCUUCUGGUUUCCCCUGUUCGAUCUUCGAUAUGACCGCCCCUUCCUGCUGGAUGGCUGGGAAGGAAAGACUUCCUUUGGAUUCAAAAUGGCGAUUGAUGCAUGAACAUCUUCCAUAAACACUGGGACUCAGUUGGAGACUCACUCCAAGCUCUUUCUUGCUGUAAUUUUUCUUAGAACCCUGCAUUGUACUCCAUCCUUCCCUUUCCUGAGUUCAUGGAAUCCAUGUUCCCAAUCACAGAAGUAUGAGGGCUGUUGCUUGAAUGAGCUGACAGGUACCUCUUUUCAUGCCAUUAAUGUGGCCCUCUUCUCCACGUGUGAAAUAUCACACUUGUAAACAUUUUACCCACAGGUUUAUUUGAAAGGAGAAGCUGUUUUCAGGAGAAGAAACAGGCCCUGGUUCUGAUUUUCCCCAUGAAUGUUCUGAGUCAGCCAAAAGGAUACCUACACCCAAUGGGCAUCAAGAAUGGGAAAGAAAGGAAUUCCAUAUAAACUUCUGUAAGGCAAAAAACAAAGACGGGUUUUAUCUUCAGUGUGACCACAACUUUCACUUUAAAUAAGUUUUACUUAAAUCACAGCGUUUGAAAUUUACAUCCAGGGUCUGCCAGGCAUUAGGCUCUCUGCUUUUAUAGGAAGAUAGUUCCCUCUUAACUGGCUCACGGGGUACAAAGGGAGGCAUCUGGGUACCAUGUGAGGCAUAGCUUUAAUGUCACCUCUCCCAGGCUGAGAAGUCAGCUCUGCACUCUGGCACGGGUCUUGAUUCCACCUCCUUGGCUACAAGCUAAAGAAACAGUGAUCACAAACUGCUCUCAGUCUGUGUCCUCAAAGAGACUGUGAGCUCUUUGAGGCAGAAGGCUGUAUCUUAUUCAGUUGUAGUCGUUGGUCCUGUCCCCCUUGUCUGCUACAACUGGGGCACAAAGACCAAAAAUGAGAGAGAGAGAGAGAGAGAGAGAGAGAGAGAGGGAAAGAGAGAGAGAGAGGAAGGGGGCAGCAGGAAGGAGCAGGAAGAGAGAAGAGGAGGAGGAGGAUAAGAUAAGGAAGAACAGGAGACAGAGACGAUCCCUACAGAACAUGCUGCUAUAGGGGCUCCUGGGCGGCUCAGUCGGUUAAGCGUCUGACUUCAGCUCAGGUCGUGAUCUCAUAGUUCGUGGGUUCGAGCUUCGUGACAAGCUCUGUGCUGACAGCUCAGAGCUUGGAGCCUGUCUUGGAUUCUGUGUCUCCCUCUCUCUCUCUCUCUCUGCCCCUCCCCUGCUCUCUCUCUCCCCAAAAUAAAUAAUCAAAAAAAAUUAAGAAUAUGCUGCUAUACAGGAUCGGAAGUAAGAAAGGCAUAAAAACAACUCUACUACAAAAUUCCCCAAACCACCAGCAAUGUGCUGUUUCCCUUCUUCAAGCAAAUCUGCUACAGAGGGACAGUAACUGGUGAAGCCAUGAGACCACCCUGCCGUCCUUGUCACUACACAUAUCCUGAGGUCCGAGAGGGCUCAAAGAUCAUCAUCACCUUCUCCACCCCGGGAACUGGGGCAAUGGGAGCUGUGAGCCUGUUACUUCAGGGAGAGAGUGGCAGGGAGAAGUGAUAAUGAUGUAUGAAGUGUAACUGUUCAUUUAUGCUCAUUUAGUGAACAAAUUAGACACUUCACAUAUCUUGUUAAUUUUUGCAACUUAUUCUGAGAGUUGAGAUUGAGAUAUUUUGUUGACAUUUUACAUAGCAUGACCGUAAACAACUCCCAUCAUACCGAGAAACAUUAUUCUGAAUUACGGAGGGUCCUUAACGUUCCCAGAAAGACCUCAGGUACCUAUUCUCAGUUCCCAUGAAGGGUCUUUGUGAAGGAAGGGUGGAUCUGAACUAUCAGAAAUAGAAGAACUAUUUUCAGAGUACAUUCUGUGGGCUGGGCACUAUGCCAAAGGCACUUUUUUUUUUUUUCCUACUCUAGAGCAUUUGACUUGCCCCCAAACCCAAUUUUCACACCCGAGUACCCGGGUCCCAAUUAGAGAUGAGCAAGUGGAGACUAAGUUAUUGUCCAAGAUCAUGCAUUCUGGUGAAGCUGAUAUUUGAAAUGAGAUCUAUCUGCUUUCAAAGCUCAUUCUCUUUCCAUCACAUCAUGCAACUAAAAAUAAAGAACCAACUGGAAUUUAGUUGACAUGUGCUUCUGCAUGACCCAGUAGAGGCGAAGACUGUUCUGGGGACAGGGACUUAGAAAUUCUGCAAGUCCCCACGAUGUCCAUCAUCCUAGAUGAUGGAACGUUACAUGCCUGUGACUUCACCAUUGACAUAGCCAAUACGUACUGUGAGAACCAGCAUUCUCCCAUGUAACAUGAUGGAAACUCGACAUGGGAACCUGGAUUAGAACUGAUCUUGACACAAAGUGAUCCUGAGAUAAAAAUAGCUAUCUCCCCACCCUCUCCGUUUUCCUUUUCCUUCCUCCCCUUUUCUCUUUUGCCUUUCCCUCUCCCCCUCCUCUUCGUUCGUCCCCUCCUUCUUCUUCUGCCUGUAGCCUUUGCUUUUCCCUAUGUUGCUUGCAUUCCUUCCUACAGCUGACUUCCUCCGUUUAUUUGGACAAAUGAGAAACAGAAAUGUCUACAGAAUGCUCCACACUUACGUCAUGCCAGCCUUGCGAUGGCAAAGGUUGGAGACAUUGUCAUUCUUCUGUUAUCAAUACAUGAAAUCCUCUGGAAUUCACUUGAUGGAUCCUUUGGGACCAUAGGCUCGCCCUCUGUACUAAUCUCCGUGAACAAGGCCUAUUACUGGCAGCCCAUGCUGUGGUCUAGUGCAGUGGGAAAAUGUGACUUGUCAUCCCCAUCAGAGCCAUAUGGAAUAGAAGAAUGGUUAUUUCUCGGGAGGGAGGGUAGGCUAUUACCACAAAAAGGGAUGAAGAGAUUACAAGCAGAAAGUGAUUGACAAAUGUCCACAAAGAUUCAUUUUGACCUAACCUCACUCAAAUUCCCAGAAGCAUGGUCUUUCUCUCCUUCCUUGAUGUCCCAAAUUUGUAGCUCUCUUCCAGAUUUGGAGUUAGUCCUUAUAAUUUAUUUUAAUAUCAUCAUCUUAUA
Neofelis nebulosa (Clouded leopard) is the source of this 4219-nucleotide long non-coding RNA. RefSeq lists it as uncharacterized. NCBI's taxonomy places the organism in Eukaryota, Metazoa, Chordata, Mammalia, Carnivora, Felidae. The record is from RefSeq and is a predicted model, not a curated record. The transcript has 5 exons.